UACAGAGGAGCCAAGCGUUGUCCGGAUUGACUGGGCGUAAAGCGCACGCAGGCGGACGCGCGCGUGGGGUGUGAAAUCUGGCCGCUUAACGGCCAGGCGCCAUCCCAUACGGCGGGUCUGGAGCCUUGCAGAGGUCGGUGGAAUUGCCGGUGGAGCGGUGAAAUGCGUAGAGAUCAGGAAGAACAUCGGUGGCGAAGGCGCUCUGCUGGACCAUAACUGACACUCAGGGACGAAAGCUAGGGGAGCGAAUGGG
RNAcentral lists this ribosomal RNA (253 nucleotides) under uncultured bacterium. RNAcentral describes it as "partial 16S ribosomal RNA". It matches the Rfam family "Bacterial small subunit ribosomal RNA", at positions 524 to 776 of the family's 1533-position model. The record is from RNAcentral.